UUAAGCGACUAAGCGUACACGGUGGAUGCCCUGGCAGUCAGAGGCGAUGAAGGACGUGCUAAUCUGCGAUAAGCGUCGGUGAGGUGAUAUGAAUCGUUAUAACCGGCGAUUUCCGAAUGGGGAAACCCAGUGUGUUUCGACACACUAUCAUUAACUGAAUCCAUAGGUUAAUGAGGCGAACCGGGGGAACUGAAACAUCUAAGUACCCCGAGGAAAAGAAAUCAACCGAGAUUCCCCCAGUAGCGGCGAGCGAACGGGGAGGAGCCCAGAGCCUGAAUCAGUGUGUGUGUUAGUGGAAGCGUCUGGAAAGGCGCGCGAUACAGGGUGACAGCCCCGUACACAAAAAUGCACAUAUUGUGAGCUCGAUGAGUAGGGCGGGACACGUGGUAUCCUGUCUGAAUAUGGGGGGACCAUCCUCCAAGGCUAAAUACUCCUGACUGACCGAUAGUGAACCAGUACCGUGAGGGAAAGGCGAAAAGAACCCCGGCGAGGGGAGUGAAAAAGAACCUGAAACCGUGUACGUACAAGCAGUGGGAGCCUCUUAAUGGGGUGACUGCGUACCUUUUGUAUAAUGGGUCAGCGACUUAUAUUCUGUAGCAAGGUUAACCGAAUAGGGGAGCCGAAGGGAAACCGAGUCUUAACUGGGCGUUAAGUUGCAGGGUAUAGACCCGAAACCCGGUGAUCUAGCCAUGGGCAGGUUGAAGGUUGGGUAACACUAACUGGAGGACCGAACCGACUAAUGUUGAAAAAUUAGCGGAUGACUUGUGGCUGGGGGUGAAAGGCCAAUCAAACCGGGAGAUAGCUGGUUCUCCCCGAAAGCUAUUUAGGUAGCGCCUCGUGAAUUCAUCUCCGGGGGUAGAGCACUGUUUCGGCAAGGGGGUCAUCCCGACUUACCAACCCGAUGCAAACUGCGAAUACCGGAGAAUGUUAUCACGGGAGACACACGGCGGGUGCUAACGUCCGUCGUGAAGAGGGAAACAACCCAGACCGCCAGCUAAGGUCCCAAAGUCAUGGUUAAGUGGGAAACGAUGUGGGAAGGCCCAGACAGCCAGGAUGUUGGCUUAGAAGCAGCCAUCAUUUAAAGAAAGCGUAAUAGCUCACUGGUCGAGUCGGCCUGCGCGGAAGAUGUAACGGGGCUAAACCAUGCACCGAAGCUGCGGCAGCGACGCUUAUGCGUUGUUGGGUAGGGGAGCGUUCUGUAAGCCUGUGAAGGUGGCCUGUGAGGGUUGCUGGAGGUAUCAGAAGUGCGAAUGCUGACAUAAGUAACGAUAAAGCGGGUGAAAAGCCCGCUCGCCGGAAGACCAAGGGUUCCUGUCCAACGUUAAUCGGGGCAGGGUGAGUCGACCCCUAAGGCGAGGCCGAAAGGCGUAGUCGAUGGGAAACAGGUUAAUAUUCCUGUACUUGGUGUUACUGCGAAGGGGGGACGGAGAAGGCUAUGUUGGCCGGGCGACGGUUGUCCCGGUUUAAGCGUGUAGGCUGGUUUUCCAGGCAAAUCCGGAAAACCAAGGCUGAGGCGUGAUGACGAGGCACUACGGUGCUGAAGCGACAAAUGCCCUGCUUCCAGGAAAAGCCUCUAAGCAUCAGGUAACAUCAAAUCGUACCCCAAACCGACACAGGUGGUCAGGUAGAGAAUACCAAGGCGCUUGAGAGAACUCGGGUGAAGGAACUAGGCAAAAUGGUGCCGUAACUUCGGGAGAAGGCACGCUGAUAUGUAGGUGAAGCGACUUGCUCGUGGAGCUGAAAUCAGUCGAAGAUACCAGCUGGCUGCAACUGUUUAUUAAAAACACAGCACUGUGCAAACACGAAAGUGGACGUAUACGGUGUGACGCCUGCCCGGUGCCGGAAGGUUAAUUGAUGGGGUUAGCGGUAACGCGAAGCUCUUGAUCGAAGCCCCGGUAAACGGCGGCCGUAACUAUAACGGUCCUAAGGUAGCGAAAUUCCUUGUCGGGUAAGUUCCGACCUGCACGAAUGGCGUAAUGAUGGCCAGGCUGUCUCCACCCGAGACUCAGUGAAAUUGAACUCGCUGUGAAGAUGCAGUGUACCCGCGGCAAGACGGAAAGACCCCGUGAACCUUUACUAUAGCUUGACACUGAACAUUGAGCCUUGAUGUGUAGGAUAGGUGGGAGGCUUUGAAGUGUGGACGCCAGUCUGCAUGGAGCCGACCUUGAAAUACCACCCUUUAAUGUUUGAUGUUCUAACGUUGGCCCCUAAUCGGGGUUGCGGACAGUGUCUGGUGGGUAGUUUGACUGGGGCGGUCUCCUCCUAAAGAGUAACGGAGGAGCACGAAGGUUGGCUAAUCCUGGUCGGACAUCAGGAGGUUAGUGCAAUGGCAUAAGCCAGCUUGACUGCGAGCGUGACGGCGCGAGCAGGUGCGAAAGCAGGUCAUAGUGAUCCGGUGGUUCUGAAUGGAAGGGCCAUCGCUCAACGGAUAAAAGGUACUCCGGGGAUAACAGGCUGAUACCGCCCAAGAGUUCAUAUCGACGGCGGUGUUUGGCACCUCGAUGUCGGCUCAUCACAUCCUGGGGCUGAAGUAGGUCCCAAGGGUAUGGCUGUUCGCCAUUUAAAGUGGUACGCGAGCUGGGUUUAGAACGUCGUGAGACAGUUCGGUCCCUAUCUGCCGUGGGCGCUGGAGAACUGAGGGGGGCUGCUCCUAGUACGAGAGGACCGGAGUGGACGCAUCACUGGUGUUCGGGUUGUCAUGCCAAUGGCACUGCCCGGUAGCUAAAUGCGGAAGAGAUAAGUGCUGAAAGCAUCUAAGCACGAAACUUGCCCCGAGAUGAGUUCUCCCUGAGACUUAGAGUCUCCUGAAGGAACGUUGAAGACGACGACGUUGAUAGGCCGGGUGUGUAAGCGCAGCGAUGCGUUGAGCUAACCGGUACUAAUGAACCGUGAGGCUUAACCUU
Molecule: ribosomal RNA, 2903 nt
Filed under: Escherichia coli HVH 225 (4-1273116)
Lineage: Bacteria; Pseudomonadati; Pseudomonadota; Gammaproteobacteria; Enterobacterales; Enterobacteriaceae
Description: bacterial LSU rRNA
Rfam family: Bacterial large subunit ribosomal RNA
Source: RNAcentral